Molecule: ribosomal RNA, 489 nt
Filed under: uncultured Neisseria sp.
Lineage: Bacteria; Pseudomonadati; Pseudomonadota; Betaproteobacteria; Neisseriales; Neisseriaceae
Description: partial 16S ribosomal RNA
Source: RNAcentral
CACGUAGUUAGCCGGUGCUUAUUCUUCAGGUACCGUCAUCAGCCGCUGAUAUUAGCAACAGCCUUUUCUUCCCUGACAAAAGUCCUUUACAACCCGAAGGCCUUCUUCAGACACGCGGCAUGGCUGGAUCAGGCUUGCGCCCAUUGUCCAAAAUUCCCCACUGCUGCCUCCCGUAGGAGUCUGGGCCGUGUCUCAGUCCCAGUGUGGCGGAUCAUCCUCUCAGACCCGCUACUGAUCGUCGCCUUGGUAGGCCUUUACCCCACCAACUAGCUAAUCAGAUAUCGGCCGCUCGAAUAGCGCAAGGCCCGAAGGUCCCCUGCUUUCCCUCUCAAGACGUAUGCGGUAUUAGCUAAUCUUUCGAUCAGUUAUCCCCCACUACUCGGUACGUUCCGAUAUGUUACUCACCCGUUCGCCACUCGCCACCCAAGAAGCAAGCUUCUCUGUGCUGCCGUCCGACUUGCAUGUGUAAAGCAUGCCGCCAGCGUUCAA